RNAcentral lists this long non-coding RNA (43894 nucleotides) under Gossypium barbadense (sea-island cotton). RNAcentral describes it as "long non-coding RNA (GBAR_LNC013139)". Lineage: Eukaryota; Viridiplantae; Streptophyta; Magnoliopsida; Malvales; Malvaceae. The record is from RNAcentral.
AAGACUUUUCUGGGAUUCUCACCAUAUCAGAUGAUGGCAACCUUGUUGUUUCCAAUGGAAAAGCUUAGAUUAUUUGGUCAAAAAAUGUAACGAAUUUGGUUCCUAAUGCAACAACUGCAUAGCUUUUAGACUCCGGAAACCUUGUCCUCAAUAACGGUGAGAAUGGAGGAAGCAGCAUCUUAUGAGAGAGUUUUCAACACCCUUCUAAUGUAUUCCUUCAAACUAUAAAGAUCAGCACUGAUGUAAAAACGGGUCGUAAGGUGCAGACGAGAUCAUGGAAAAGCCCUGAUGAUCCAUCCGAUGGCAACUUUUUUCAAGGCAUUGAACCUUUCAGCAUCCCAGAGGGUGUCAUUUGGAACAAUAACCAGAUAUAUUUUCGGACCGGCCCAUGGAAUGGUCGUAUCUAUAUUGGUUUAAUAAAUGUUAAUAGAGUUGAUUUUGAUGGUUUUAUGUGGUUGCAGAUGAUGUAGAAUAAACUUAUUACGAAACUUACAAAUAUUCUACUGACUCUAGGUUGAUAUACUAUGAAUUAGAGUCUAACGGAAGAUACGUUGAACGAAUAUGGGAUGCGGGGAAAGGGGACUGGAUAAACGGGUACUCUAGUUAUCUAACAGAUUGUGAUGUUUAUGGGAAGUUUGGGGCAUUUGGAUUCUGUGAUUCAACGAAACGACCCAUUUGCAGUUGUUUGAAAGGAUUUAAGCCUAGGAAUAUAGAGGAAUGGAGUAGUGGGUUUUUUAGGACUACCCCUUUGCACUGCCAAAGAGAUAACAAAAAUGGAAGUGAAGCAGGCCAAGGAGAUGAUGGGUUUUUAAAGCUGAAGAAGAUAAAAGUACCGGCAUUUCCAGACCAGUCACCAAUAACUAACGGCGAAUGCAAAGAUCAAUGCAUGAAGAAUUGUUCGUGCGUCGCUUAUGAGUAUGAUGCUGGCAUUGGUUGCAUGUUAUGGAGUGGAGAUUUGAUUGAUGUCCAGAAAUUCUCUAAUCGGGGAGUCGACCUUUACAUUCGUCUGCCGUCUUCGGAACGUGGUAAACUUGUCUUCCAUAUCGACCAUGUGUGUGACGAAUUGCAUCAAUUAAUCUUCAUUUUUGGUUUAGAUGUUUUAUUAACCAUGUUUCUGGAUUUGCAGAUAAAAGGAAUAGUGAGAUAAUUGUUAUUACAACAGUAAAUUCAGGCAUGGUGGUGAUUAUAAUAAUUUCUGCACUCUUCUUAUUGCGUAGAAUGGGUCAACAAAUAGGUAAAAUGUACACCUUUAUUUAUUUAAUCUUUUUAGUCACUUUUUUUAAGAAAUAUGUAAAUUCUUUAAGAGUUCUCUUCGGGUAAAAUUGAAUUUAAAGGUAUUUUUUACUCGAUUUAAAUUCAAAUUUUAGAUAAAAUAAAAUAAAACUGAAAUAGAAUUGAGUCAAACUCGAAUACGGAGAAAAGCUCUAAACUUGAUUGAGUACUAUUGUAAAAGUUAAAAGACUGAAUUCAAGUGAAAUUAAAUUAUUUCAGUUUUGCUCGAUUAAGUUCGUUUAUAUAAAUUACAUAUUCGUAUUUGAUUUUAUAUAUAUAUUCGUUUAUAUAAAUUAUUUCAGAUAUACUUUUAUAUUUAAAUAAACUGGACCAUGUGUUAGAUAAAUUGGGUGAAUUAAUUUGCAAUUCUUUUGGGUCGAAGUUUCAUAAACCAAUUUUUUGGAUUUGCAGAUAAAGGGAAAAGUAGUAAGGUCGUCUUUGUUAUUACAACAGUAACUGUGGGCAAUUAUGUAGCCUUCAACUCAUUGCUUUUUUGAUUUCUAUCACAGGAAGGAAUAAAAGACGGACACAGAUCGAAGACAAAUUUCAUGGUGAAAAUAUAGGAGAAAGUUCAAUCGGUGUUAAUCUCCAGCAGCUUCCACUAUUCAAUUUCGAAGAACUUGCCACCGCGACCAACAACCAUCCCCAAAAAAAGCUAGGGCAGGGUGAUUUUGGUCCGGUUUACAAGGUAAUAUAUAAUAGCGAUUUUCGGUUGGUAGGAUAAUCAUCACCGGCCCAAAGCCGGAUUAUAAUGAGCUCGUAGGCCAGGCUCGUUAGUCGAGAAAUUUGUAAGAAAGCAAGUUCAACUUGCGAGUUCACUACAAUCUAACCCAAACCCAUUCAAAUUUUGAGCAGAUGAUGAUAAUUAUCCUAAAACCGGUGAAUCCAUGAGUCAAUGAAAUGACAUUUUUUUUUCAAUCUAAUUAUUGUAGUUUGAAUUUUGAGUGCAGGGAACAUUAGAUGAUGGAAAUGAAUCCACCAAAUUCCUUCAGAAAUAUGGCCUUCGGGAGAAUCAUCAGCACCAUGGGAUGUUCAAAGGAAUCCACCAACACCUUAUCAAAACCAGCUGAAGGAAGCCUUAAAUGAAUAUUGGUCCAACAUACCAGAUCCAAAAGAAUGGUCUCAAGAUUAUCCAAUGCAUUGCAGUCAGAUAAUCCAAGAUACACAUGAUGAAGGACCAAGUGUUUCACAAAUGACAAAACCUUCACCAAUUCCCAAAAGUAAUAAUGAUGAUGUGAUUCCACCAAAUGAUCUGGAAAGCAGGAUUGAAAAGCUAGAGCUUAGGUGUUACAGAGCCCGUGAAAAGAAAAGACAGAAAGUGGAAGAACUCAACAUCACCUCUGAUAUUGAUACAAACUAUGACACAGAUACAGAUACAGAUGUAUCAAUAAUAGAUAAGUUAAUGUAAAAGCAGAUUCCUCCUUAUCUGCUUAUGUCCUUUAUGUAUGAGUCAUGUCCUUUAUGUUUGUAAAAGCAGAUUCCUCCUUAUCUGCUUAUGUCCUUUAUGUAUGAGUCAUGUCCUUUAUGUUUGUAAAAGCAAAUUCCUCCUUAUCUGCUUACUUCUACUUUUCCCCUCUAUAUAAGCACGGGGAAGUCUCAGAUGUAAAAUAAGAACUUCCUUUGAAAUAAAACCCAAAAGAGUUUUUAUAAAUCUAUGGCUUUCUAAACCUCUUUCAUCUCUUCUUACUUGAAAAUAGAAUUUCUAUGAAAGAAAAUCUCUCAUUAGUUUAAGAGUAUGCUCUGUGCUUGCCAUACUCAUGGAUCCUGCACAUCAGAAAUUAAAUAUGAUAAAAGAUAUUAUUAAGUUCAGUUGAGUUUGAAGAAGGAAUUCAGUGAUUAAAGAGAUUAACAGCUAAAAGGCAGUGCCUUGUUGAUGGCCAGAAAAGAGAUGAAAGGCCUGUGUUUUGGCAUAGCAUACCUGCUGUUACUCAUCGUUAAUUGCUGAUCUCUAGCUUCUUACUCACCUACCCUCAAUUGGUUGGGACUUGGCAUAUUUACCUAUUUAGUCCUUUUAAAUUUUCUUUAAUCUAUAAUUAAACUUUUACCCUUGUUGCAAUUUAGCCCUUUUUAAUCAAUUAACCAUCGGAACAUUAAAAUUUCUUAACGAAACUUUAAUACUACCCUAAUGACACUCCAAAAAUAUUUAUAAAAAUAUUUACGACUCAAUUUAUAAUAUCGAGGUCUCGAUACCUCGUUUUUGACCCAAUUUUCCUAAUAAUUUCUUUUAAAUCACAAAAUUCGCUAAUUCAAAAAUAUUUCUAAAAUCACGCUGAACUUAUAAUUAUUAAUUAAUAAAUUUUUCUAACGUUUUCAUCAGAUUUAGUGAUCUCAAAUCACUAUUCUGACACUACUGAAAAUUGGGCUGUUACACUUUGACUUCUAAAAAUAUUGAAAUUUUGAUUUAGUCCUUUAAAAUUAUAAAGAUAUAAGUUAGUAAAAUAGUGAAAUUGCAUUUCAUCUCUCACAAAAAUAUAUAACUUAAUUCCAAUCCCUAGAAAAAUUUUCUGACUUCCUCUAAUUAAACUUCUUAUCACUCAAUCCAACAUCUGUAGCGAAGCAAAUAUCCUUAUUUGUAAGAUCCGUAUUUUUAAUCUCUCCGCUUUCUGGAAAUUACAAAUUCAAUUCAUAGAUAUGGAAACUAAAAUUGGUUAUACAAAUCAAAAAACCUUUUUACGUCUACGAGACUUUACCCAAAAUCUAAUUUAUUAUUAAUAUGCAGUGUAAGAUGUGAUUUAAGUUCAACUUUCUCACUAAAUUAUAACAUCGCUCCUAUGUAUUAAUAUAAGAUCAUUUUCCCCCACUAAGACUUUCCCAUGAAAUCUUAGCUUCAAACUGAAAAAAAUUUAAUAUUCUACAAUAUUCUAAUACAAUAUUCAUAAAUCAGACAUGCUAGAAGUAUUAAUUUCCAUGAACAGGGUGACAUGCUAAUUGAAUACAAUAUUCUAAUACAAAAUAGGUAGUGAUUAGUGCUUGAAGAAAAUUCAAAUCUUGAUCUAAACAUUUGCAGCUGCCUUGAAAUAUCAUUACAUCAUAUUAAAAUCAGACUAUUUUUUUAACUGAAAAAAAAUUGAGUUAAGUUAAAUAUCAUUCAUAAAUCAUAGCGUCUCUUCCAAGUUCUGGGAAGAGAUUAUGGGAAAAACUAUUAGCUGCUCUGUUUUACUAGCUUUAAUAUAUUGCUUUUACUUACUAUUUGCCACUGCUUCACACACUAUAACAGCAUCAAAAUCCAUCAAAGACCCUGAUGUUAUAAUCUCCCAGAAUGGUGUUUUCCGAUUGGGAUUCUUUGUUGGAGAAUAAAACGUGAGAGAGCUAAAAUAAUAUAUAGGAAAGUUACUCUCUUAUUAAUGAAUUCUAGAUGAGUAAAAACAAAGAAUAAGUGCCUAUAUUUAUAGGCUUACAUGGAAACUAACUUAACAUAAAAAUAGCUAACAAAUUAUUUGGUCAAGCUAAAAAAUCUGAAACUACCAAGAUUUUCUAAACAUCCCACUAAUAUGUUAUUUUGAAUUAUUCUCAACACUCCCCCUUAAUUCAAAGUUGCAGACACCAAGUAAACUUCUAAAAUAGCAAAACUUCUCUUUUGAUAAUGCUUUUGUUAACAUAUCUGCCAGCUGCUCUUCAGUGUUGCAAUAUUCCAAAGAUAUCUCCCCUUUUGCUACCAAAUCACGAAUGAAAUGAUAACAAAUAUCUAUGUGCUUUGUUCUACUAUGAAAUGUUGGAUUCUUUAUCAUGGAGAUCGUGGAUUUGUUGUCACAAACUAUGGUAGUUGCACAUUUCUGCUCUUAUUGGAGAUCGGUUAACAUUCUCCUUAGCCAAAUGGCUUGACAAGCUGUUGCAGUUGCUGCUACAUAUUCAGCCUCUGAGGUUGGCAAUACUGUUGUAGCUUGCUUCGUAGAACUCCAAGUGAUCACCCCAGAACCUAGAGUAAAAACAAAUAUUGAUACACUUCUUCUGUCAUCUAGAGAACUUGCCCAAUCACUAUCUGUGAACCCACACAAUCUGAAAUCUGAAGUUUUUGAGUACCAAAUGCCAUACUCCAAAGUUCCAGCAAUGUAUCGCAAUACUCGUUUUGCUGCUCCAUAAUGAACCUUUGAAGGUUGCUGCAUAAACCUGGAAAUAACACCAACAGAAAAUGCAAUAUCGGGUCUAGUGUGAGUCAAAUAGAUUAAACCUCCAACCAAGCUUCUAAACCUCCUUGCAUCUGUCAUUUCUUCUCCAUCCUCUUGCUGCAAUUUUUCAUUGAUAUUCAUGGGUGUAGCUGCAGGCUUGCAAUUAAGCAUACUAAAUUUACUGAGAAGAUCCUUGGCAUAUUUCCUUUGUGAGAUAAAAAUUCCAUCGUUAGCUUGAUGAAUUUCAAGACCGAGGAAAUAAUGCAAUAAACCCAUAUCGGAUAUCUCAAAUUCAUUCAUCAUUUGAGACUUAAAUUCAUCAACCAGUAAGUUAGAGAAACUAAUAUAAAUGAUUUCAUCAACCCACAGGUCCUAGGAUCGAAACCUGACUCUGAUACCAAAUUUGUUGGAGAAUAAAAUGUAAGAGAGAUAAAAUAAUAUGUAGAAAAGUUACUCUCUUAUUAAUGAAUUCUAGAUGAGUAAAAACAAAGAAUAAAUGCCUAUAUUUACAGGCUUACAUGGAAACUAACUUAACAUAAAAAUAGCUAACAAAUUAUUUGGUCAAUCUACAAAAUCUGAAACUACCAAGAUACUACCAAGAUUUUCUAAACAUCCCACUAAUAUGUUAUUUUGAAUUAUUCUCAACAUUCUUCAGCUUGGCUAACUCCAGCAAUCGUUAUGUAGGGAUAUUGUACCAUCAAAUCCCCCUACAAACUGUUGUAGGGUGGCAAAUAGAAACAGGCCUCUCAAAGACAUUUCUGGGAUUCUCACCAUAUCAGAUGAUGGCAACCUUGUUGUUUCCAAUGGAAAAGCUGAGAUUCUUUGGUCAACAAAUGUAACGAAUUUGGUUCCUAAUGCAACAACUGCACAGCUUUUAGACUCCGGAAACCUUGUCCUUAAUAACGGUGAGAAUGGAGGAAGCAGCAUCUUAUGGGAGAGUUUUCAACAUCCUUCUAAUGUAUUCCUUCAAACUAUGAAGAUCAGCACUGAUGUAAAAACAGGUCGUAAGGUGCAGACGAGAUCAGGGAAAAGCCCUGAUGACCCAUCUGAUGGCAACUUUGUUCAAGGCAUUGAACCUUUCAGCAUACCGGAGGGUGUCAUUUGGAACAAUAACCAUAUAUAUUUUCGGACCGGCCCAUGGAAUGGGUCGUAUCUAUAUUGGUUUAAUAAAUGUUAAUAGAGUUUAUUUUGAUGGGUUUUAUGUGGUUGCAGAUGAUGUAGAAAAAACUUAUUACGAAACUUACGAAUAUUCUACUGACUCUAGGGUGAUAUACUAUGAAUUAGAGUCUAACGGAAGAUACGUUGAACGAAUAUGGGAUGCGGCGAAAGGGAACUGGAUAAACGGGUACUCUAGUUAUCUAACAGAUUGUGAUGUUUAUGGAAAGUGUGGGGCAUUUGGAAUCUGCGAUUCAACGAAACGACCCAUUUGCAGUUGUUUGAAAGGAUUUAAGCCUAGGAAUAUAGAGGAAUGGAGUAGAGGUAAUUGGAGUAGUGGGUGUUUUAGGACUACCCCUUUGCACUGCCAAAGAGAUAACAACAAUGGAUGUGAAGCAGGCCAAGGAGAUGAUGGAUUUUUAAAGCUGAAGAAGAUGAAAGUGCCAGCAUUUCCAGACCAGUCAUCAAUAACUAACGGCGAAUGCAAAGAUCAAUGCAUGAAGAAUUGUUCGUGUGUGGCUUAUGCGUAUGAUGCUGGCAUUGGUUGCAUGUUAUGGAGUGGAGAUUUGAUUGAUGUCCAGAAAUUCUCUAAUCGGGGAGUCGAUCUUUACAUUCGUCUGACAUCUUCGGAACUUGGUAAACUUGUCUUCCAUAUCGACCAUGUGUGUGACGAAUUGCAUCAAUUAAUCUUCAUUUUUGGUAUAGAUGUUUUAUUAACCAUGUUUCUGGAUUUGCAGAUAAAUGGAAUUGUGAGAUAAUUGUUAUUACAACAGUAAUUUCAGGCAUGGUGGUGAUUAUAAUAAUUUCUGCACUCUUCUUAUUGCGUAGAAUGGGUCAACAAAGAGGUAAAAUGUCCAUCUUUAUUUAUUUAAUCUUUGUAGUCACUUUCUUUUAAGAAAUAUGUAAAUUCUUUAAGAGUUCUCUUCGGGUAAAAUUGAAUUUAAAGGUAUUUUUUACUCGAUUUAAAUUCAAAUUUUAGAUAAAAUAAAAUAAAAUUGAAACAUAAUUGAGUCGCACUCGAAUACGGAGAAAAGCUCUAAACUUGAUUGAGUACUAUUGUAAAAGUUCAAGGUCGAAUGCAAGUGAAAUUAAAUUAUUCAGUUUUGCUCCAUUAAUUUCGUUUCAAUAUGUUACAUAUUCGUAUUUGAUUUUAUAUAUAUAUUCAAGGUUGAAUUCGCACUAAUUUCAGAUAUACUUUUAUAUUUAAAUAAAGUGGACCAUGUGUUAGAUAAAUUGGGUGAAUUAAUUUGCAAUUCUUUUGGGUCGAAGUUUCAUAAACCAAGUUUCUGGAUUUGCUGAUAAAGGGGAAAGUAGUAAGGUCGUCUUUGUUAUUACAACAGUAACUGUGGGCAAUUAUGCAGCCUUCAACUCAUUGCUUCUUUGAUUUCCAUCACAAGAAGGAAUAAAAGACGGACACAUAUCAAAGACAAAUUUCAUAGUGAAAAUAUAGGAGAAAGUUCAAUAGGUGUUAAACUCCAGCAGCUGCCACUAUUCAAUUUCGAAGAAUUUGCCACCGCGACCAACAACUUCCAUCCCGAAAAAAAGCUAGGGCAGGGUGGUUUUGGUCCGGUUUACAAGGUAAUAUACAAUAGCGAUUUCCGGUUGUUAGGAUAAUCAUCACCGGCCCAAAGCCGGAUUAUAAUGAGCUCGUAGGCCAGGCUCGUUAGUUGAGAACUUUGUAGGAAAGCAAGUUCAACUUGCGAGCUCACUACAAUCUGACUCAAAUCCAUUCGAAUUUUAAGCCGAUGAUGAUAAUUAUCCUAAAACCGGUGAAUCCAGAGUCAAUGAAAUGACAUUUUUUUUCAAUCAAGUAUUGUAGUCUGACUUUUGAGUGCAGGGAACAUUAGAUGAUGGAAAGGAAAUAGCAGUGAAGAGAUUGUCGAAAGCUUCAGGGCAAGGUUUGGAAGAAUUUAUGAACGAAGUGGCGGUUAUUUCUAAGCUCCAACAUCGAAAUCUGGUAAAAUUGUUUGGGUGUUGUGUUGAAGCAGAAGAGAAGAUGCUCGUCUACGAGUUUAUGCCCAACAAAAGUUUGGACGCUUUUCUAUUCGGUUAGUAAUUUAUUCAAAUUUUAUAUUAUAUUUUCGGUCUCUAAUCAAAUUCAUAAUUCAGUUGAAUAGGAUCCCUUAAACAAUAAUGUUUUUUUCCAUUCACAAAAUUUAAAUUUAGGUGUAGUGAUAUUUUGAUUCACUUCGCCGUUUAAUAUUUAUUUCAAUUUAUUGACAUAACUUCAAUUAUGUCUACAAUCAUAAUGAAUACAAUAUGGUAGAAAUACUAUGACGGUUGUAGUUUAGAUCCUCAAUUAUAGGAAUUCAUUAUUAAUUUAGUAGGUUUUUAUGUUUAAAUUUUGUUAUAGAUCCCAUUAAACAAAAACUCUUGGAUUGGAGAAACGUUUUAAUAUUAUUGAAGGGAUCAGUCGAGGAUUGCUUUAUCUUUAUAGAGAUUCAAGAUUGAAAAUUAUACACAGAGAUCUAAAAGCAAGUAAUCUUUUACUUGACCAAGAGCUAAACCCAAAGAUUUCAGAUUUUGGGAUAGCCAGGAUCUUUGGAGGUGACGAAAAUCAAGCCAACACUAAAAGGGUUGUCGGAACUUAGUAAGUUGGAACUUCCUUCUUACCAUUUCUUUUUAUGCUCUUUUUAAUAAAAUAUGGUAUAAAUAUGUCUAUGGUCGGAUUUGAUGCUUAAAGAUGAUACAUGUCCAUGCUUGUAUCGAGUUUAAUUUUGUUCAAUUUGUGGACUCAAUUUAUUGUUUUUAAUUUUAUAAAUAAAAUAUUAAAAAUAUAUUUUUAUAUUUUUAUAGUUAACUUUAAAUUAUUUAUUAUUUAUUCUUAAUUCAAGUUGGCUUGUGGACAGGUUUAAAUAAGAGCUGUAAUUGGUGUUGUUUUUUAUGUUAAAAUACAGUGGUUAUAUGUCUCAUGAGUACGCAAUGCAUGGGCGAUUUUUAGAGAAAUCUAACAUGUUCAGUUAUGAAGUUCUACUACUGGAGAUUGUUAGUGGAAGAAGAAACACAAGCUUUUACAACAAGGAUGACCUUAGCCUCUUGGGAUAUGUAAGUUUAUAAGAUAGUUAGAGAUGUUGGUGGAUGGAAUUAGGGUGUAAGAUUUUGUAUUUGCGAGCUAUUCGAGUUCGGUUUGAGAAAACUUGAAUUUGGCUCAGUAAUUAUUGAGUCAAGCAAUCCUGUGAGUUGAAUUUGAGAAUCUUAUUACUUGAAUCGAGUAGCUCACAAGUGAAUUUCAAAAACCCUAAUACUUGAAUUGAGUAGCUUGCAAGGCUUUUCAAUCUUAAUCAAUAUUGAAAAUUUUCAGAUUAAACUCGAGCUUAAUUACAAAUAAUCAAGCUUGAAGUUAUGCAUAGGAGUGAAGCUCAUUGUAGACUUAGGCAAAACAAGCAGAGUUAAAACACUUCAAUUAACUCUAUUAAAGCUUUAAGAUUGAAAAUUUGAGUCAAGUUAAGCCUGGCCUGGCCCGGCCCGAAUAUAAUAAUUUUUUUUUAUUUUCAAAAAUAUUUUUAAAAUACUUUUUUUUAAUUUUUUUUAUUUUUAAAAUACUUUUUUAUUUUUUAAAUUUUCUUUUUGGUGUUUAUUUAAAAAAUGGGUCGGGCCGGGCUCGGGCCUAUGAUUUUUUUCCUUGGGCCGGGCUUGGACAAAAUUUUAGGCCCAUAUUUCGGGCCAAAAUUUUUUCUUGGCCCGGCCCGGCCCAUGAGCAGCUCUAGCCUAUAAGUAUUGAUUUCCAUGAACAAGGUGACAUGCUAGUUGAAUACAAUAUUCUAAUACAAAAUAGGUAGUGAUUAGUACUUGAAGAAAAUUCAAAUCUUGAUGUAAAAAUUUGCAGCUGCCUUGAAAUAUCAUUACAUCAUAUCAAAAUCAGACAGUUUUUUUAACUGAAAAAAAAUUGAGUUGAGUUAAAUAUCAUUCAUAAAUCAUAGCGUCUCUUCCAAGUUAUGGGAAGAGAUUAUGGGAAAAACUAUUAGCUGCUCUGUUUUACUAGCUUUAAUAUCUUGCUUUUACUUACUAUUUGCCACUGCUUUAGACACAACAACACCAUCAAAAUCCAUCAAAGACCCUGAAGUUCUAAUCUCUCAGAAUGGUGUUUUUCGAUUACAAUGGUUAGAUAUCUCCUGAGUAUGCAUUGCAAGGGCAAUUUUUAGAAUAAUCAGAUGCAUUCAGCUUUGGAGUUGUAUUGCUUGAGAUUGUUAGAGGAAGAAAAAGCACAAGCUUAUUGAUCUUAGCCUCUUGGGAUAUGUAAGUUUAUAAGAUAAUUUUUUUAUAUAUUGUAGCGACCUAAAAAAAUUUACGCGGGUGCUAGUCGAGGUGAUUAUUGAAAAUUUGAAAGCAGAGUUUCAAUUUAUUUAAAAAAAGGGAGUCGCCACCGAUCUUUUUUCCUACGUGUGAUCGAACACCUAAUAAAUUCUCUUUUUAGAAGAAAAUUUUAAUUUUUUUAAAGUUUUCUAAAAAAAGAGGUAAUUUUAGGUCUACGUGAAAAUCGAGAGAAAAUUAGAGUUCGGGAGUCAGUUAUGCGCGAGGAAGGUAUUAGCACCCUCGCGACGCCCAAAAUUGGUAUCUCGUUAAACGCGCGUUAUCUUAAUUUUCAAAAUAUAAGUUCAAUUUAAUAAUUAAUUGCGAUCCAAUCAAAAUACGAAAUUUAAAAAAAAACACGAAGAUUUUUGAAACAAUUAUUUUCUUUGAAAAACUUGAAAAAUUUUUAAAACACGAGAACUUUAGAGACACAAAAAUUAUUAAAACACGAAAAUUUUUGAAAACACGACAAUUUUGAAACACGCGAAUUUUUUUUUGAAAACCCGAUUUUUUUUUGAAACGCGAAAAUUUGUGAAACACGAGAUUGUUGAAAACACGCAAAUUUUUGAAAACACGAAAAUUUUUGAAACACGAAAAUUUUUGAAAACACGAGAAUUUUUUGAAAACGUGAAAAUUUUUGAAACACCGAAUUUUUUUUAAACACAAUUUUUUUGAUUUUUUAUUAAGCACGUAUCGUAUUUAACACGGACUGAUGAUAUUCACUCAACAUAGCAAUGAAAUCAACGAAUUAGUGUCAAAUCGAUUCGUUGCCUUAUUAUUAUUUUUUUGAAAACGCGAAUAUUUUUUUAAACACGAGAAUUUUUUUUUUGAAGACACGAAAAUUUCGAAGCACGAGAUUUUUUUUUUAAACAUGAAUUUUUUGAAUAUUUACAAUUUUUAAAAGGGCGUAUCGUAUUUAACAUAAACUGGUGAUAUUCACCCAACAUAGCGAUGAAAUCGACAAUUUAAUGUUAAAUCGAUUCGUUGCCUCAUUUAUUAAAAAUAUUAAAAAUAAAAUCAAAUUGAAUUUAAAUUUAAAUUAAAUUAAAUUGAAUUAAAAUUAAAUUAAAUUAAAUUAAAAAAAUAUAAAUACAAAAAAUAUAAAAAUGCAUAAAUUACUAAUAACAUUAAAAUGAAAUAGCAUAAAAAUACGAACAUUAAAUUAAAAGUGAAAUAAACAAAAUUACCGAAAAGAUCCGAAACACGAGCUUGGUCGAACAGGUUACGCAAAUUGAACCUUUUUUUCUUUUUUCCUCUUUUUCUUUUUCUUUCUUUUUUUUCUUUCAUUCUCUUUCUUUUUUUUGUUGGGCCGGCCUGCUGGGCCUGCACACUUGCUGGCUGCUGUUGGGCUGCCUGCUGGAUUGGGCCUGCUGGAUUGGGUCAAGCCUGUGCUACUAGGCCUUUUUUUCUGCUUUUUUUGUUUUUUUUGGGCUGAUUCUUGGGCUAGGGCCUGCGCUGGAAUGGCCUGCUGCUUGGUGGUGCCGGGUAAGGUCACGGGUCGGGUCAAUUAGACUCGGCUGCUUUAUUAUUAUUUUUUAUUUUUUUCUCUUUUUCUUCUUUCUCUUCUUCUUCCCCUCCCUUCUUCUUCCUUCUUCCUCUUCCGGUUCUCCUAGCCCUCUUCAACGUCGCCGCUGUCCUCUUGGCCGACGGUGACUGUCGGCAUACUUUUCGCUCUCCUCUUCCCCUUUUCUUUUUCCUUCUCUUCUUUUUCUUUUUUUUCGAAAAUUCGAAGACCCAAGGCGUUGCUUUGGUCCUCCACUUGCGCUCCGUCGCUCUCGUCUGCCUCCGGUGGUUGUGAGAAAGAAAUUAAAACUUUUUUUGAAGUUUCUUCACCGUUUUUUUCAUUUUUGCUGCUGAUUUUUUUUCUCUUGUUGUUUUUUUUCUUUCUCUUUUUCUCCUCUUUUUUUCUUUUGGGGGUUUGAAAUCCCCUUUUAAAUUUGAUGUUUUUUCUUCCUUUUUGCAGGUAGCAAGUGGGCUAGGGAGGGCCUAGGUCGGCUGCCGCCUGUUGCAGGCGCAACUUGCGUUGAUGGUUGCCAGAGGGACCAAAAUGUAAUGGCAGCAAAAUUUUUGGUGUCAAAACAUAAUUUUAAGAAAGUUUAAGGGUCAAGAUGUAAUUUCAAAAUCUUUAGGGGUUGAAAUGUAAUUUUGAAAAAAUUUAGGGGUUAAAAUAUAAUUUUAUAAAAGUUUAGGGGUCAAAAUGUAAUUUUUUUAAACACAAAAUUAUUCCAGGACAAAAUUCAGUGAUUACAGCUGCUCCUCUUUGCUCAUCGCUGUGAAACAGGGAUAGAGCAAAGACUUAAAAGCACUGAAUUUUGUUCGACCAUCCAAAAUUUUUCUUUUUAUUUGAAAAGCAGAAAUCGAGAAUAGCUUGGCGUGCGAGUCAAAGCUCAACUCACCUCGAAUUAUGAGUUGAUUUUUUGAAAAACAGAAAUUGAAAAGAAUACCUCGGCAUGCGACUCGAGGCUCAACUCACCUCUCGCAAUAUGAGUUGAUUUUGAUUUUUGAAAAAUAGAAAUUUAAAAGAAAUAUCUCGGCGUGUGCCCGAGGCUCAACUCACCUCUCGCAAUAUGAGUUGAUUUUUGAAAAAUAGAAAUUGAAAAAUACCUCAGCGUGACCCGAGGCUCAACUCACCUCUCGCAAUAUGAGUUGAUUUUUUAAAAACAGAAAUUGAAAAAUACCUAGACGUGUGCCCGAGGCUCAACUCACCUCUCGCAAUAUGAGUUGAUUUUGAUUUUUGUUUUUUGAAAAACAGAAUUUUAAAAGAAAUACCUCGGUGUGUGCCCGAGGCUCAACUCACUUCUCGCAAUAUGAGUUAAUUUUUGAAAAGCAAAAAUUGAAAAAUACCUCAGCGUGACCCGAGGCUCAACUCACCUCUCGCAAUAUGAGUUGAUUUUUUAAAAACAAAAAUUGAAAAAUACCUCGGCGUGUGCCCGAGGCUCAACUCACCUCUCGCAAUAUGAGUUGAUUUUGAUUUUUGUUUUUUGAAAAGCAUAAAUUUAAAAGAAAUACCUCGGCAUGUGCCCGAGGCUCAACUCACCUCUCGCAAUAUGAGUUGAUUUUUGAAAAACAGAAAUUGAAAAAUACCUCAGCGUGACCCGAGGCUCAACUCACCUCUCACAAUAUGAGUUGAUUCUUUUUAAAAUAGAAAUUAAAAAAUACAUCGGCGUGUGCUCGAGGCUCAACUCACCUCUCGCAAUAUGAGUUGAUUUUUGAAAAACAUAAAUGUACAAGAAAUACCUCGGCAUGUGACCUGAGGCUCAACUCACCUCUCACAAUAUGAGUUGAUUUUUUUUUUUGAAAAAACAGAAAUUGAAAAAAUAAUUUUUGAAAGAAACAGGGUUUCAAAAAACAUCGAGUAAAACUAAAAGCCUCCUUUUCAUUGAUUCAGUGCAGACUUCUCCCAAAAUUCCCUGCUCUGUUGGGAUGCAUGUAUAUGUCAUGUAUGAUGUUAUCAUGAUAUGCACGUGUUUGUCCUAAAUGCUUUUAUGCCUACAUGAUCAUGCCAUGCACUUUGAACUAUUUGUCACAUGCCCCUUCUUCGUAAGGGACUGCAUUCAUCGCCUCAAUCAUCAAUUUUUCUCUCCGAUUUUGUACUCAUCUUUGAAUUUUUCGGGUGACCCACAUUUUCAUAUUUCCCCUUCUUGCCUCAUUGUUGAACUUGGUUCUUGUUUUGGGGCCCUUGUACAUGUCAAAUUCUCAUCUAGGUAAUGCCCAACAUUCCUUUCGUUUAGAGUAUGUCAUCUUACCAUUUAUCAGUUAAAUGAAUCAAACACGAGAUGCAUGAAAAAUGGCAAAGUAGGCAUGAAAGAAAUACCUCAUAUUCAAAUUAUUUCAAAACCAACAAAGAAAAUUGACAAGGAAAAGCUCAAUAAAGAAAGCAUCACAAAGAAAGGAAACUGAAUCUAAUAGCUACAAAAUGCUUUAGAUAUCCAACGCAUGAACUUCUCCACGUUUCUUCGUCCUGGAUCUUUUUCGAGCACAGCUUCUCGUGUAAAAGAUUUCAAGCUUCUGAGAAUAAUUCAAAUAUUACAACCUUUCCAGUUGACUCCCUGUUUAAGUCGUCUUGCUCCUUAAGUCUGAAUCUGCUCCAUUAGGACGCCCUUUCGGGUUUUCAUCCUAAUCAUUUGUUUAUCAAGACGCUCUUUUCAGGUUUUCAUCUUUAUUUUUCUUUUUCUUUUCUUUUUUUUCUUUUUUUUUGUUUUUUUUGUUUUUUUGUUUUUUUAGGCAUAAUAUUUCUUCACAGCAUCUAAGUUCACUGGAUUAGGUAAUUCUUUCCCAUCCAUCUCAGUGAGAAUCAGAGCCCCUCCAGAGAAUGCCUUUUUUACAACGUAUGGCCCCUCCCAAUUUGGCGACCAUUUUCCUUGAAAGUCUCUUUGUAUCGGGAGGAUUUUUUUAGUACCAGUUCCCUUUCGCGGAAUUCUCUUGGCCGCACCUUUUUAUCAUGGGCCGUGAUCAUUCUUUUCUAAUAUAUCUGUCCAUGACAAAUUGCCUUCAAGUGUUUCCCUUCAAUAAGGUUUAGUUGAUCAUAUCAAGCUCAAACCCACUCUGAUUCUUCUAACUUUGUCUCAAUCAAGACGCGCAGGGAUGGGAUCUCUAUUUCGAUAGGCAGAACGCCUCCAUCCUGUAGACCAGAGAAAAAGGAGUUGCCCCCGUAGACGUCCGUACAGAGGUGCGAUAUGGGUACAAAGCAAACGGUAGCUUCUCGUACCAAUCUUUAUAUGUCUCAAUCAUCUUCCCGAUAAUCCUCUUAAUGUUUUUGUUGGCCGCUUCGACAGCUCCGUUCAUUUUUGGGUGAUAGGGUGAGGAAUUAUGAUGCUUUAUCUGGAAUUGCUCACACACUUCUUUCAUUAUCUUGUUGUUUAAAUUCAAAGCAUUAUCUGAAAUGAUUCUCUAUGGCAAACCAUAUCGACAUAUGAUCUCCUUUUUUAGGAACCUGCAGACUGCGAUCUUCAUCACAUUAGCAAACGAACUGACUUCUACCCAUUUUGUAAAGUAAUCUAUAACCACAAAGAUGAACCGGUGUCCAUUAGAAGCCUUCGGGGAAAUUAGCUCUAUGACAUCCAUGCCCCACAUAGAAAAAGGCCACUGAAAAGUCAUGACAUGAAGGGGCGAGGGAGCUGCAUGAAUUUUAUCACCGUAAAUUUGACACUUAUGACACUUUUGUGCGUAUCCAAUGCAAUCCCUUUCCAUUGUCAGCCAAAAAUAACCAAGUCUCAUAAUCUGCCUAGCCGUAGUAGACCCAUUGGCAUGCGUUUCACAAAUUCCUUCGUGGACAUCUUUAAGUAUUCUUCUGGCUUCAACAUUGUCCACGCAUCUCAGGAGCAUUUAAUCCUUUCCUCUUUUGUAUAGGAUAUCCCCAUCAAGAACAAAAUCAGCCGCCAUUCUUCUGAUUGUUCUUUUGCCAUUCUCGUUUGCUUGCUCGAGAUACCUUUGAUUCUUAACGUACUCUAAGAUGUCAUGAAACCACGAUCGUCCAUCUGACUCAUUCUCAAUGCUAAAAUAGUGUGCGGGGACAUCAUAUAUGCUCAUUUGGAAAGGCAUUAUUUCAGUUUCUCUAUUUGCUUUGAACAUUGAAGCCAAUGUGGCCAAGGCGUCAGCCAAUUGGUUUUCCUCUCGUGGGAAGUAUUGAAAAGUCACUUCUUUGAAUUCUUUGACCAAUUCCUCCACGAAAUCGCGAUACUUGACUAAUUUUGAAUCUCUCACUUCCCAAUCUCCGUGAAUUUGAUAAAUCACUAACGUUGAGUCUCCAUACACCUCUAAGAUUUCUAUUUUCCGUUCAAUAGCUGCAUGAAGUCCCAUGAUGCAAGCUUCAUAUUCUGUUAUGUUAUUAGUACAGAAGAAAUUCAAUCUGGCAGUGAGCAGGUAAUGGUUUCCUUCCGGUGACACUAAGACUGCUCCUAUCCCGUGCCCCAACGCGUUCGAUGCACCAUCAAAACUCAUCUUCCAUGAUUGAUCUUUUAAUGAGUCACCUUCGAAAAUACACAUCAAGUCUUCAUCCAGGAAGUCAAAUCUCAACGGCUCAUAUUCCUCCAUUGCUCGACUUACCAAGAAGUCAGCUAUUGCGCUUCCCUUUUUCAACUUUUGGCUCACAUACACAAUGUCAUUCUCCCUGAGAGUGCGGGUGAUUCCAUCAAAUACUUUAAUAGAUCUAGCUUUGAAAUUAACCACGUUGUAUGAUACAACAUGUAUUGUCUGAGCUUUCAAACUACCCAGACCAAUGUACAGUAGAAUUUUUCAAUUGACGGGUACUUUGCCUCAUAUUCUGUGAACUUUUUGCUGAGGUAGUAAAUCACUUUUUCUUUUUUCCCUGACUCAUCACACUGCGCCAGUACGCAACCCAUUGAGUUUUCAAACAUGGUUAGGUACAAUAUUAAGGGUUUUCCAGGGGUCGGCGGCACUAGCACCGGAGGAUUAGACAGAUAUUGUUUUAUCUUGUCGAAGGCUACUUGGCACUCCUCAUUCCACUCUCCGGAAUUAUGUUUUCGAAGGAGUUAAAAAAUUGGAUCACAUUGGUUGGUAAGUUGAGAAAUGAAUCUAGCAAUGUAAUUCAACCUUCUUAAAAAUCCUCUGACUUCUUUUUGUGUACGCGGAGGUGGCAGUUCUUGUUUGGCCUUUAUAUUGUCUAGAUCAACCUCAAUACCUCUCUCGCUGAUAAUGAAACCUAGAAAUUUUCCCGAGGUUGCCCCGAAUGUACACUUUUCUGGGUUAAGCUUCAACUGAAACUUUUUUAAUCUUUCGAACAGCUUCCUGAGGUUCCCGACAUGCUCCUCUUCUCUUCAGGACUUGGGAAUCAUAUCAUCGACAUAAACUUCUAUUUCUUUGUGCAUCAUGUCAUGGAACAACAUCACCAUGGCUCUCUGAUAUGUUUCCCCAGCAUUCUUCAAUCCAAAUGGCAUCACUUUGUAGCAGAACGUUCCUCACAUUGUCUCGAAUGUGGUUUUUUCCAUGUCUUCGAGAGCCAUCUUUAUCUGAUUAUAACCUGAGAAACCAUCCAUGAACAAAAAUAAAGAAUGUUUUACCGUGUUAUCCACUAACGUAUCGAUGUGUGGCAAAGGAAAAUUAUCUUUAGGGCUUGCUCAGUUCAAAUCACGAUAAUCUACGCACAUUAAUACCUUGCCAUCUUUCUUCGGUAUCGGGACUAUGUUAGCUACCCAUUCUGGAUACUUGGAGACUUGUAGGAAGCCAGCAUCAAAUUGUUUAUUGACUUCUUCUUUUAUCUUCAACAACAUUUCGGGUCUCAUCCUUCUUAGCUUCUGUUGAACAGGUUUGCAUUCUGGUUUCAGUGGGAGCUUAUGGACCACAAUAUCUGUGCUCAACUCUGGCAUAUCCUGAUAAGACCAGGCAAACACAUCCUUGUACUCAUAGAGCAAGGCAAUUAAAUCUCGCCUGGUGUUUUCUGAAAUGGAAGUCCCAUCUUCACUUCUUGUUUCUUUUCUUCAUUCCCCAAGUUCACUACCUCAACAGAUUCUUGAUGGGGUAGAAUCUGUUUCUCUUCUUGUUCAACCAUUCUCAAUAAGUCAGGAGGCGGGACACAAUUUUUAGCAUCUUUCUCAGCUUCAAAUUCUCCUAAACAAAUAGCCUUCUCGAAAUUGAUUUUAGGACUUGUAACGGGAUUGUUCAUACCAUAGAUAUCUGAGCACCGAAAGGUGAAUGGGAAAGAAAACUAUAGAGGAGCAUCAAAGUAUUGGAAUCAACACACACAAUGUUAUGGAAUGAUAUAAUAUAUGUGUAGGAAAAAGCUAUGAGAAGCGAGAAUAAUUAUGACACUAAUAGAAACAAAAAGACCAUGACAAAAUGCAUCUUCAUUAAUGUUUAUUGAAAUGAUAAAGAGCAAACAUAAACUCUUACAAAAGGAAUCCCAUCACUUAGGAACACACAAAAUAAUGGAGAAGUAACAUUGGGUAUUACCCGGGAGAGAACUUAGAAACUACAAGAAGGUCCACAACAGUCCAAUUGUUCAAAAUAUAUUCAGGAGGACAGGGGUGUAUCAUUGAAACAUCAUUAAUUGUACCACUCUCGUUGAGCUCAACAUCCAUAGCUCUAGCUCUUAGAUGUGUUCUAUAAGAAUGACGUGAUUCCAGAAUUGUAGUGUCACAACUUGGAUUUUGCGGUUCUAGCCUUAAUGAAUGUUUAGGGUGAUAUGUAUAUGCAAUGCAUGAAUGAAUGAAUGAAUGAAUGAAUGGAUGAAUGACAAGUGAAUGUUAGUCAUGAAUAAAUAUACAAGAAUUUGGUGUUGAUUUCAAGAUAGCCCCAUAUUUUGGCGUUUCAUUUAUCAAAAGAGUCCAUUACAAAAUAUUUUGCCAAUGAAGAUGCCCCUAGUGCCUGAGUCUCAUUGUUUCCAGAUCCUAGUCAAAUCUUCGGGGUUAUUCUGACGAGCAUUCAAAGUCGCCUUCCCGAAAAGAUCAAAGAUAUAUCUUUCCUUUAAACUAUCCAUUUUUCUUUCUGGGUCCUCGAAGACCAAUCUUGGACUAUGUCAUUUUUCACGGUUACUUGUGUAAUUAACUCUUCCAUCAAAAACCCGUUUUUGGCAACCAAUCUUUAACCAACACCUUCCCAAUAAAAUGCCUAUGAUGCAUGAUGAGAAAUAAAAUGAAGACAAAUAAACUUAGUUAGUAAUCACGACAAAGAAAAACAAAGAAAAACUAUGGAAAAUCUAACAAACUGGCCUACUUUUUUUAUUUUUUGUUUUUACCCCAUCAUGCUUUACAAAAUAAACUUACCCCACAUACUCAUCAAUCUACCCGAUCCAAUUUAUUAAAUAGACCCGAUUCUUUUGCAAAUAACUAUAAAUGUAAAAGAAAUACAAGGUAAGAAACGUUUCUCCCAUGUACUUAUUCGGUAGCUAUCCAACGGACAGAGGUUCGACAUAGCUCUAAUUGGGUGGCUCGUACAGUUCACUAUAUGUGGUUUCAGUUCUAAAAAGGUACUCGAAUUGUCCAUACUGUUACCUACUAAGGUUAGUAUGGAGCCUCGGUUAUCACCCGUUAUGGGCUUGCGAGCUCAAUUCAAGGGACUACAUUUACUUAUGCCUAUGCGGAGGGACAAGUUAACUCACGAAAGCAUAAGUCAUAUGUAACCCGGAAGUAAUUUUUUAGCCUGUGCGGAGGGAUGAGUUAACUCACGAAGGCAUAGUGUUUACUUCCACUUAAACGGACGGAGCCCGGGUAGAGAGCUCAUGUUAUGCAAGAAUGCAAGUGCACAGUGUGUGGGGAGAAACUCACAAACCUUUUUUAUUUUUUAAUUUUACUAAAAAAAACUAAAAAAAUAUUUACGGGCAUCGGAAAAGUAUAAUAUCGGGCCUUCGUCUUAGUAAAUUGAGUUUGAAAAUAAUUAUUAGAAAUAUUUACGAGGCUAGUUGUGUGUUUAAUUAGAUUUUUAUUUAGUGAAUUUAGCUUAAUUAGGAGUAAUUAGCAAAAAGGAUUAAAUUCCAAUAGAAGUGAAAGUUUAGUUAUAGAUUAAAAGAAAGUAAAAAGGGGUAAAAUGGCAAUUAAGCCAUUUAUAUGAAAUGAGGUGGCAUACAAGCAUUAAAAUCUAAGAUUUUAUUUGAGUUAUACAUAAAUAUUAUAUAUAUUAUAAUUAUAAUUAUUAACCAUUGUUAAGUUUUUAUAUUAUUAUUAUUAAAUAAAGUAAAUAGUAGACAAAUGGAUGGUGAUAAAAUAAUACAUGUGAAAUUAAAAUAUGUAUAUUGUUGACACCAUUUUUUUUGUGAAAACGGGGUCGACUUGGAUUUUGAAAAUAAAACGAAAAUGGGAGUCGCCACCAAUUCUUUUUUUUAUGAGGUGUGAUCGGGUCACCUCGAAAAGUGGUUGUUUUUAAUAAACAAUUUAAUUUUUAUUAAAACAACGAUUUUGGCCUACGAAAUUCAGAAAACGGGUUCGGGAGUCGACUACGCACGAGGAAGGAUUAGCACCCUCGAUGCGCCCAAAAUUGGUACCUUGUUGAUUAAUUAAUGUCUUAGUGUUGAAAAUUGAAAACUUUGAAGAGUUUUAAAAAUACGAUCCUUAAAAGAAACUCUGAUAACGUGAAUUGAAAUAUAAGAUUCUCUUGUUCCGAAGGGAUAUCACAUCCAGCACGUUAGGACACGACACUUUAAACUGUCGAAACCAAGGUCACCUUAUAGUUUAAGGAAACCAUACUUUGAAGUUUGAAGAGGGUAUUUAGCUAUUUAGUCGAACGAGAAAUCAAAACCCAGCACGUUAGGGCAUGUUUUCUCGAAUUUCCAAACGCAAAAUAUUGCCUCACUUUGAAAUUUUAAAAGGAUAUUUGGCUAUUUGGUCAAACAAGGAGUCGAAACCCAACACGUUAGGGCACGUUUCCUCGAUUUUCCAAAUGCAAAAUAUUGCCUUAUUUUAAAAGUUUAAAAAGGAUAUUUGGCUAUUUGGUCGAACGAGAAAUCGAAACCCAGCACGUUAGGGCACGUUUCCUCGAUUUUCCAAACGCGAAAUAUUGCCUUAUUUAAAAAAAACCUUCCUUUCGAUGUUUGGUGUUAACGCAUGACAAAACAAUAACGAAUACGACAAGGUAAGCAUAGUAAUGUGAGUAACAACAAUACAAUAGGCAAAAUAAAAUGACGAGGCGAUUACAUAAACAAAGCAAACGAAUAAACAAAUAGAACUGACAUUUUAGAAAAGUAAAAGUGUACAUGAAUAAAUAAAUAAACACCAAAAUAACAAUGAUGACAAUAAAUACAAUUAUGUAAAAUGUGUAUGCAUGUAUAAUUUUAAGUUAUGAAAAUAAGAAAUGAUUUAUAUAUAAAUCGUAAAGUAUAAAAAUGUAUAUAAAUAUAAAUAUAUAUAUUAAAUAAAAAUAUGUAAGUAUUAUAAAAUAAAAAUGUAAGUAUGUUCAUAUGUACAUUAUAAAAUAUAUAUAGGUAUACUUAUUUUUUAGAUUAUAAAGUAUACACAAAAAAGGAAUAUAUGUAUAUACAUAUGUAGGAGUUACAAAAUAUAAAACACAUGUGUACAUAUAAAAUAUAUAACAUAAAAUAUGUGCGUAUGUAUAUUAUAAAAAUGUGCAUAUAUAUGUAUAUAUGAAAAUAAAAGUAAGCAUAUAGAUUAUAGCAUAUAUAAAAAUCUAAGUAUGUAUAUAUAUAUUGAUUGUAAAAGUGUACGUAUUAAGAAUGCAUGCAUGUACAUGUAUAUGAAAAAAUUCUAAAAUUUAAAAAAAAUAUAUACAUAUAAACAAGUAAAUAUCAUUAAAUAAAAUAUUAAAUAAAACUGGCUUUUACAUAGGUAUAUUUAUAUAUAAAAAUAAAUAAAUAAAAUUAAAAAAACUUGAAGUUUAAAAGGUCGAGGAUCGAAUUGGAAUCAGGCUGAUAAUUUGGGGCCAAAUUCGCAAAUAAAAGGUUCAGGGGCUGAAACGAAGCACGCGCGGAGUGCAAAGGACUGAUCGGGAAAUAUGCCCAAGUCCUGAAGCACAGCAUUUAUGCGCGGACUAAAUUGGAACAUGCAACAAAAUUGCAGGGCCAAAUUGAAAACAAUAAAGAAACCAGUAGAACGAUUAAAUUAAAACAAAAAAACGUGGAGGGAUCAAGAGCGCAAAUUUCCCAGUCAACAGAAAUGCGCGGAUCCCUUGGAACGGGUCGGGUCAAACACGCGGGCAAGGGGGCCAAACGGCACCGUUUUAUAUCUGCUAUAAAUAGCAAAAAAAGAAAAAAAGAAAAAAAAAAACAUUUCCAGCUUUAUUUUUUAGAAAAACAGAGAGCAGUUUGGUUCUCUCUUAGCCUUCAACUCCGGUCAACAGGGCCACCGCCUGCGCCGCCGUGACUCUGCCGUAGGCGAUGGUCGGAGCGACGCAAAGAUCGGGUCCUUCACCGAUUUAAAGGCCAUUUGAAGGCCGAAGCUUCAGGGCUCGAAAGCCGAAAGAAGAGAAACCCCAUGGCCUCCCUUCGGUCCCGAUUUCACCGACCAAGACGGUUUCGGCGACGGACCUUGCGUGCAGCCCUAGGUAAGUUUCUUCCCUUCCCUUUUUUUGAUUGAUUUUUUAUUAUAGUUAUUUAAAACAAAUUUGAAAAAAAAGAGAAAAAAAAACGAAAACAAAACAAGAUAAAACAGAUGAAUAAGAGAAAACGAAGAAGAAAUAGCAAGGAUUCAACCUUUUAAAAUUUCUAUUCAGCUUUUUGAUUUCUGAUAUGGGUGAAAAAAAAUACAAGGAUUCGAUCAAGGCUUUUAUAGCCGAUUUCCCUAACUCAUUUUUCCCUAUUUUUGUUUCCAUUAGCUAUAUUGCCUGCAUGCUUCUGUGGUUGCAUUCAAUUUUCUCUGCAGGUGUCAGACGAGGCCAACGGCGGAGGCAGAGGCAUGUGCGAGAAGAUGAAGCGGCACGCGUGGGCAGAGGCGGCCAACGGCGCCCUAGGGUUUCUCUUCUUCUGUUGAAAACAUUUGUUUGUGGGCUAGGGCUGUAUUGGGCUGGCAUCAUUGGGCUUUGGGUUUAUUUUUUGUAAAAUGGACUGUGACUGUUUUAUUAAUUUGGUUUGUUUUGGGUUCCAUUGGGCCCCGGGUAAAAUUUGGGCUCUACAUAUAUAUUUGUAGUUUGUAAAAUUAAUUUGCUUAUUAAUUAGUAUAAGAUAUUUAUUAUUUAUUAUUAGUUAUUAGUUAUUAUUAAAUUAAAAGAUAUUUAAUAAUUAAAUAAUUAGUAUAAGAUUUUUGGGUAAUAAUAAAUUAUGAUUUUGUCAAGUGUGUGGUAAAAAUAAAAUGCAAGUGUAUUACAUUUAUUUAUUUACUUAAAAUUUAAGUAAAAGAUAUUUAUUAAUUAAAUUAUUAUAUUAAAAUAUUUUUUUGAUGAAGUAGUUAGAUUAAGACAAAUGUAAGGUUAUGAUAUGGUACAAAUAUAUUAAUUAUAUUUGUUAUUAAAAUAGAUAUUUUAUAAAUAAUAAUUAAUUAAACAUAAAAGAAAUAAAAUAAAGGAAAUAAAGUAAAGUAAGUUAAAAUAAAAAGGAAAAGAACAAAAGAAUAACAUAGUAGAAACAGAGACCAUUCGAAACAGGGGAGAAAGAAAAGGGAAAGAAAAAUAAAAGGGAAAACUAGGGAUUUGAAGCUUGAAGUUUAAUUGGUAAGUUAAAUCAAGUCCUUUUCUCAUAAAUUUGAUGUUUUUGGAAUCCUAGAGUGAAAUACUCUUGGAUUUAAGUUGAAAAUUUGAAAGUUAAUAGAUUUUUUAGUAGGGUUUAUGUUGAAUAAAUUGUUGAAUUAGGGAUUUAAUUGAAUGAAUUUUAAGUUAGAAUUGAUAAAGGGAUUAAAUUGUAAAAGAAACUAUAAAUUUUAUGUUUUAGGGACUAAAUUGAGGGAAAUUCGAAAUUAGAAAAAUAUGCUGAAAUUUUGAUAGUUAAAUUUGAGUUUGGAUGAAAUAUGAAUAGAAAUAGAGUGUGAAUUGAAUUAGGAAAGUAAGUGAAUUUAGUUAGGAUUAAAUUGAGAAUAAGGAAGAAAUUGAAUAGAAAUUCAAUUAUUUAUUAUGAUUAGUGCUGUAAUUAAUAGCAUAAAUUAUUAUUAUUUUCGUAGCUAACAAAGAACCAGAAGCAUCGGCACGGAAGGGAAAAGAGAAGAUUAUCGAGGAGUAAACUCGAGAAAAUCACGGUUUGUAUUACUAUAAUUCAAGUUAUUUAUUAUUAAAUGUUAAAUUUUAAUUUAUGUGUUUAGUAAAUGAAAUGUGAGGUAAGUAUUAUUAUUAUUAUUAUUAUUAUUAUGAGUGUGAAUUAAAUUGAAUAGUUGAUAUGAAUUAAUAAUUGAAUUGUUUGUUCAUUGAAAUUGGGAAAUGAAUUUGAAUCGAAUUGUGAAUGAUAUUAAAUUGUAUGGAAAUGUAUUGAGUUGUGAAAAUGUGUGAAUUUGUGGAUUAAUUAUUGAUUGAAAGAUGGAGAAAUGAUUGAAUUGAAAAUGUGAGAAAUUGUGAUUGAAUAGAGGUUAUUUGUGAUUUAAAUACCCUAUUAACUAGUCGGGCUGAGUCGGAUAUAGUUGGCAUGCCAUAGGAAUAGAAGAGUUCAGGGAUACUUCGACCUCGAGUCGAUGAGACACUGGGUGUCACUAUAUUUCUUCGGAUAGAUUCGAUGAGGUACUGGUAUAUUUCUUCGGAUAGAUUCGAUGAGGUACUGGGUACCAACUUACUUCGGCUUGGCCGAUGAGACACUGGGUGUCAACUAUUGCUUCGAACUAUCCGAUGAGGCACUAGGUGCCAUUCUGGUGUGUUUGGUUGGAUCCGUGUAUCCGCCAAAGUCUGAGUUUUGUUAAUAGGGUAAAUUAUGAAAUGAUAAACCGAACGAGUUAAUCAAAUGAGCUAUUGAAAUGAAAUGAAAAAGUUGAAUUGUGAAUUGAAAUGUGAGAUUGAGAAAUAAACCAAAGUUCAUGAUGUGCCCAAAAUCAAAUUGUGGAUAUUUGAUAUCAAUUGAUGAAUUGCUAUUGUUGAAAUAUGGAAUUUAAAUCUAAAUUUGUAUAUACGAUUUAUGAAUUAUAUGUUUAUUAUUGUUAUAAUUUGAAUUAUGGUAAUACCACUGAGUAUAAAUUACUCAGCGUACGGUUGUUUCCGUGCGCAGGUCAAUAGAAGUCAAAGGUCCCGGUUCAGCAUCCAGAUUAAUCCCGGCUUCAGCAAAACUUGGUGAUGUAUUUUUCAUUUGGUAAAGGUGGCAUGUACAUAGGUUGUGUAUAAAGGUUAUUAUGUUUUAAUAUAAAUGGUUAAAAAAUGUUAGUAUUAAAGUUUAUGAAUUUUAAUGAAAGAAGUAUAUCUAUUUUUAUCUAAUUAGUACAUUGUUAAAUUUUAAAUUGAUAUUAUAUAGAUUGAGUUUGAUUAGAAGUAUUUAGAAUAGAAAAUGAGAAUGUGACAUGAAUUGGUUGAUUUGAUUUUAUUUGAAAAUGAAAUGGUUUUAAAUUGCAGGGGGUUUUAGGUAAAAAUAAGCAGAAAUGCUGUCGAAAUUUUUUGUAAAAAAAAUUUAUAAAAAAAAAGUCAAUUGGUAAACAAACAUAAGAAUUUAUGAUUUAUUUUAAUAUGUUGGUCAUUUAUGAUUUGUUUAUCUGUAAAUUGUUUAAUAUGUUCGGUAAUACCCCGUAACCCUGUUUCAGUGACAGUUUGAGGUUAGGGGGUGUUACACAUUAGACUCGACUCUAAAAAAAAGUCCCCAGCGGAGUCGCCAGCUGUAGCGACCUAAAAAAAAUUACGCGGGUGCUAGUCGAGGUGAUUAUUGAAAAUUUGAAAGCAGAAUUUUAAUUUAUUUAAAAAAAGGGAGUCACCACCGAUCUUUUUUCCUAGGUGUGAUCGGACACAUAAUAAAUUCUCAUUUUAGAAGAAAAAAUUAUUUUUUAAAAUUUUUUCUAAAAAAGAGGUAAUUUUAGGUCUACGUGAAAAUCUAGAGAAAAUUAGAGUUCGGGAGUAGGUUACGCGCGAGGAAGGUAUUUGCACCCUCGCGACGCCCAAAAUUGAUAUCUUGUUAAACGCGCGUUGUCUUAAUUUUCAAAAUAUAAGUUCAAUUUAAUAGUUAAUUGUGAUCCAAUCAAAAUACGAAUUUUUUAAAAAAACACGAAGAUUUUUGAAACAAUUAUUUUCUUUGAAAAACACGAAAAUUUUUGAAAACACGACAAUUUUGAAACACGCAAAAUUUUUUUGAAAACCCGAUUUUUUUUUGAAACGCGAAAAUUUGUGAAACACGAGAAUUGUUGAAAACACACAAAUUUUUGAAAACACGAAAAUUUUUGAAACACGAAAGUUUUUAGGAAACAUGAAAAAAAAAAUUUGAUCAUCGAAAUUUUUUAAAACACGAAAAUUUUUGAAACACGGAAAUUUUUGAAAACACGGAAAUUUUUUGAAAACGUGAAAAUUUUUGAAACACCAAAUUUUUUUUAAACACAAAUUUUUCGAUUUUUUAUUAAGCACGUAUCGUAUUUAACACGGACCGAUAAUAUUCACUCAACAUACCAAUGAAAUCAACGAAUUAGUGUCAAAUCGAUUUGUUGCCUUAUUAUUAUUUUUUUGAAAACGCGAAUAUUUUUUGAAACACGAGAAUUUUUUUUUGAAGACACGAAAAUUUUGAAGCACGAGAUUUUUUUUUUGAAAACAUGAAUUUUUUGAAUAUUUACAAUUUUUAAAAGGGGGUAUCGUAUUUAAUAUAAAUCAGUGAUAUUCACCCAACAUAGCGAUGAAAUCGACGAUUUAAUGUUAAAUCGAUUUGUUGCCUCAUUUAUUAAAAAUAUUAAAAAUAAAAUUAAUUUGAAUUAAAAUUAAAUUAAAUUAAAUUAAAAAUAUAAAUGCAUAAAUUACUAAUAACAUUAAAAUGAAAUAGCAUAAAAAUACGAACAUUAAAUUAAAAGUGAAAUAAACAAAAUUACCGAAAAGAUCCGAAACACGAGCUUGGUCGAACGGGUUACGCAAAUUGAACAUUUUUUUCUUUUUUCCUUUUUUUCCUUUUCUUUCUUUUUUUUUUCUUUCUCUCUCUUUCUUUUUUUUUGUUCGGUCGGCCUGCUGGGCCUACACACCUACUGGCUGCUGUUGGGCUGCCUGCUGGAUUGGGCCUGUUGUUGGGCCUGUUGGAUUGGGUCAUGCCUGUGCUACUAGGUCUUUUUUUUCUACUUUUUUUGUUUUUUUUGGGCUGCUUCCUAGGCCUGGGCCUGCGCUUGAAUGGCCUGCUGCUUGGUAGUGCCAGGUUGGGUCACGGGUCGGACGAGUCGGAUCAAUUAGACCCGGCUGCUUUAUUAUUUUUUUGAUUUUUUUUCUCUUUUUCUCUUUUCUCUUUUUCUUCUUUCUCUUCUUCUUCCCCUCCCUUCUUCUUCCUUCUUCCUUCUUCUUCUUCCAGUUCUCCUAGCCCUCUUCAACUCCGCCGCUGUCCUCUUGGCCGACGGUGACUGCCGGCAUACUUCUCGCUCUCCUCUUCCCCUUUUCUUUUUCCUUCUCUUAUUUUUCUUUUUUUUUCGAAAAUCCGAAGACCCAAGGCGUUGCUCCGGUCCUCCACUCGCGCUCCGUCGCUCUCGUCCGCCUCCGGUGGUUGUGAGAAAGAAAUGAAAACUUUUUUUGAAGUUUCUUCACCGUUUUUUCUUCAUUUUUGCUGCUGAUUUUUUUUGUCUUGUUGUUUUUUUUUCUUUCUCUUUUUCUCUCUUUCUUUCUUUUGAGGGUUUGAAAUCCCCUUUUAAAUUUGAUGUUUUUUCUUCCUUUUUGCAGGUAGCAAGUGGGCUAGGGAGGGCCUAGGUCGGCCGUAGCCUGUUGCAGGCGCAACUUGCGUUGAUGGCUGUCAGAGGGACCAAAAUGUAAUGGCAGCAAAACUUUUGGGGUUGAAACGUAAUUUUGAGAAAGUUUAGGGGUUAAAAUGUAAUUUCAAAAUGUUUAGGGGUUGAAAUGUAAUUUUGAAAAAAAUUAGGGAUCAAAAUGUAAUUUUAAAAAAUUUAGGGGUCAAAAUAUAAUUUUUUUAAACACAAAAUUAUUCCAGGACAAAAUUCAGUGAUUACAUAUAUAAUUUCUACUACUAUUCGUAAUUCCUCUGAACUUUUAAUUUAGAGAAUAAUGUACAUUUAAGUGCACUCAAACCCACGUUUUUGUGUAAGUUGUAACAACAAUUAUGCCAAUUGAGAGAACAAAAACCCAGGGUGUAAGAAGCUAUAUUUGCAAGAUGGGUUUGGUUCAAGAAAACUUGAUUUCAGCUCAGUAAUAGUAGAGUCCAACAAUCAUGUGAGCUAAAUUUAAGAAUAUUAAUACUUGAAUUAUUUUUCUUGCAAGCUGAAUUUGAGAAAAUUAAUACUUGAAUUGAGUAGCUUGCAGUUUAACUCGAGCUUGAAUACAAAUAAUUAAGCUUGAAGUUGAGCCUAAUCAAGAGAAUUUCUGUAGCUUGUUAUUUAUAUCGAAUUGAGCCAAUUGAACUUUUUAGAAGCUUUAAGUUCAAAAUUUUGGGUCAAGUUAGGUUGGAUAAUUUAAGCAAAGUUGUUUUUUGUUUACAAGCGGGGAGACAAUGGAACGAAGGCAACAUUUGGAUCUUAGUAGACAAGAUUAUUUCAAAGUCAAAAUUAAAUUAAAGAAUGAGAAAGAAAUAUGGAAAUGCAUACAUGUUGGAUUGCUAUGUGUCCAGGAAUAUGCUAAAGAUAAGCCACUAUGUCUACGAUUGUUUCAAUGCUUAAUAAUGAGAUUUCAAAUCUUCACCCUUCAAAACAACCUGCUUUUACUCAAGCACCACUAAUUAGCCAUGUUGUUGAGAAUAAGGUUUCAGUUAAUGAUGUAGCUCUUACAGACUUUGAUUUGAUGGUAGAUAAAGAUGCAAAUUAUUUAUUUUUAUUAGUUUUUAGAAAUAAAUUUUAAGUAUUGAAAUUUAUCUAUCUAUUAUUUUUUCGUGCGAUGCACAAGUUAAUCUUUUGUAUUUAUUAAUAUAUAUAUAUUUAAAUUAUUGUAUAAAAUUUUAAACACUUGAUAAGAGCGAAAAAUGUAUUAUUAAAAAGGAGAAAAAUAAUUGUCAAUGUAAACCAAAAGUCCUCAAAAUAAACGGUUCAAAAAACACAAAACAAACCCUCCCCAUGGGAGAAACUUUGACCGACGGUUGCUCACAUCUCACAAGCUAGAUACUUCGAUAAUCAAGCCAGCGAUCAACAGAACCAAACAGUGGGGAACAGAUUAUAAAAAACCCCACAAAAGCCAUAUAUUCGAGCAGGACUUAUGGCGGAUCCAGUAGUCGAUGAUUCUCUGCAGCCGUAGCAGCAACAACAGCCUGGGAUUCCUCAACCCAAAAUCGAUCUUUAUCGCGCGACAACCCAUCUCUAGCCAUUGCAUGCGCUGUUCUAUUCUCUGAUCAUUCGAUAAAUUGGAAACAACGAAACCCUAAUAAUUUGAGGAGCACCCUCGAUAAUCCUCGAUAAAUUGUAUCCAUGAUAAAACCCUAAACCCUAAACCCUAAACCAAAUAAUCCGAAGAGAUCCCUUGAUAAAUUGCAUGCGCUAUGGAUAGUAAAGAUAUUGAAACGUUCCCCACCCAAACCAAAUAAUCCGAGGAGCACCCUCGGUAAUCCUCGCACUGACCACCUUCUCGUUAAGAUCCGCCAGACAUAAUAAUGCUGAGAGACCUGAUAAGCCAUAAAAGUAACAUAUUUUUAAUCCUACUCUUGAUGCGUUUUUGGAUGAUUUAUUAUGUAAAUUAGUGAAUUUGAUACUCCUAAUCCUUUAAAUUCAUGUUUCUAUACUUAGGUGAGCAUAGGGGAGUGAAAGGAGCAAAAAAAGCCAAAAUCAGAUAAAAAGAGCUGUUUUCAAGAUCCACACGGCCUGGACAUUUUCACACGGGUUAGGCAUAUGCUCGUGUGAGACACACGGGUUGGCCACACGCCUAUGUGCCAGCCUGUGUUGAUUUCACACCCUGCUUCUCUUUUACGCGAAAAAGCUUAAUUUUUAGACUUUUUAAGCAUUUUAAAGUCUGUAAGUACCAAUUAGAAGAAGAUAUAAUGGGGCAAUCAGAGAAGAUCGAAGAAAACACUCGAAAAAUGCCAUUGGAAUCAACUCGAAAGCGGAUCUCCUUCAAGAUCAAAGAACUCCAUUUAAUUUCUUUUGAAGUUUUAUUGAGUUUCUUUUUGUCUUGUGGAUAUCCUAACUUCGAGAUGUUCCUAUUUAGGAUUAUGAACUAAAUUCCCUAAAUACCAAGGGAGGAUGAAACCUAUGAUAAAUCUUAUUAUUUAAUUUAUGUUUUUACGUGAUAAAUAACUGAUUCCUGUUCUCAAUUAUUUAUAUUUAUUUUGUGUUUUAAUAUUUUGGGGGUAUUAAUUCAUGUUUAAUGUGCUUAUUUCAGUGGAGCAAAAGUCCCUGUUUAAGAGUAGAUCUAGCAUAAUUGAGUGGAGUUUCAUGCAAUCCUAGAAAUAGGACGACAUAAAUCUACUGGAUUAGAGUCAAAUCUAAUAGGGGAAUACAUAGAUCGAGUUAAUGGGACGAUAGGGGUUUUAAUUAGAAAGAUAUUUCAAUUAAUAAACUUAGAGUCAGUUGUUCUUACUCUCAUAAGAGAUAUUAACAUAAUUUAAGGAUUUAUACGGAUCAAGACAUGAGUGAAUAAAUCAUUUAAUUCAGAUUCAGAAUAAUAGGUGAAGUCUAGGUGGAUUCUUUCUUGGGAAUUGUCUUUCUCAUUGGUUAUUUUUGGUUAUUUUCCUAUUUCAUUCUUUGUUGCAUUUUUAGUUAAAUUAGAUUAGUAAAUUUAGAUUUAAAACAAUCACUCUACUUUCUCCGCUAAAUAAUAGAAAAACGGUAAUUACUAGUACUUUUAGUCCUCGUGGAUAUGAUCUUCCCUACUCACCAUAGCUAUACUAUUGUUCGAUAGGUGCGCUUGUCUUUGUCGUAAUUAUAUAGUUAGUUUAGUAACCGUCAAGACCUUCCCCUUGCUUGAUCCCUCGAGUUAGAAAAAGUUGUUCACCCACCACACCAUUCGUCACCAUAGAAUAAUUGAACGAGGUAACAAAUCGCAUUAUUCGAUCAACCCAAACAUUUGAAAAACUCAUUUUGAGGAGCAUUACCUUAAUAAACCACCAUUCUACACGAUCGUAAGCUUUGCUCAUGUCAAGCUUAAGCGCAAACGUCCCAUGCCUACCAAAACGACUAUUUUUCAGUGUAUGCAGAAUUUCAUAAGCAACCACAAUAUUGUCAAAAUAAGAUGCCCCGGUACAAUGGAACUCUGAGCUUCAUCUAUACAGAAAUGGAGCACUUCUUGAAACCUAUUAACCAAAGCUUUCGAGGCAAUUUUGUAUAUAACGUUACAAAGACUGAUGGGUGGAAAAUUCAUCAUAUUGCAUGGUUCUUUACUUUAGGUAUCAAUGUUUCAAAUCAUAAAUAAAUUGUUUUAUUAAUAAUUUAUCAAAAAUUAAUCAAUUUAAAUAAUUUCAAUAUGAUGUAUUGUUUAUAGCAUAUAUAGGAAGUAACAUGAAAGAAAUAUUUAGUAUUACUUUGUAAGUAAAUAAUUAAAAUACACUAAUAAUAAAAAAUUAAAAUCAAAGGAACUAAUAUAAUAAUGUAUAAGGAAAAAUCCUUAAAUUUAAUGAAUGUACAAAUAAAAUAUAGAGGACUAAUUAUGUAAUAUCAAAAAGUGAAAUACCUUAAAAAAAUAUAAAUGUGAAGGGAUUUAUGUUGCAUAUAUAUCCUUUUCUAUUUCCUUUAAAUACAAAAAUUUAAAAAUACAUCGACUAUAAUGUAGAUAAAAAUUAAGGUUACAAAAUACCUUAAAUAUAACUUGGCUUCUUCUUCUUCUUGGAUAUAAAUACUGUAAAAAAAAUGUUAGAAAAUUAUAAAUUGGUAACUCCUAUAAAUUUUGAAUACAAAGUUCUGUAAAAGAAUAAAUUAAAAUUUCUCAGAUAGUAAAAUUGGACCUCAAUUAAAUUUAGAGUUAGAGAGGCAAAGUUCUUUGACAACUAUUAGAUCUUGAAUAUAAAUUUUAAAAAAUGUUAGGCAAACAAAAAGCACUCACUUAAAAUUGAGGUAUGUCACAUUAUAAAAGUUACAAAUGAUUAAAUUCAUAAACAAAUUUAAAAUUUAUUAUUACCAAAAUUUACAACUUAAACAUGACAAGUUUUAUUAGCACAAAUUCAGACAAUAUUCAAAAACUACUUCACACAAUCCUUAAAAUCUCAAAUAUCAUUCAUAAAUCAUAGCGUCACUUCCAGUUCUGCUCUUAAAAGAAAUUCAGAAAACAAAGUCAUGGGAAAAACUAUUAGCUGCUCUGUUUUACUAGCUUUAAUUUCUUGCUUUUACUUACCAUUUGCCACUGCUUUAGACACCAUAACACCAUCAAAAUCCAUCAAAGACCCUGAAUUUAUAAUCUCCCAGAAUUGUGUUUUCCAAUUGGGAUUCUUCAGCUUGGCUAACUCCAGCAAUCGUUAUGUAGGGAUACUCCACAAUCAAAUCCCCGUACAAACUGUUGUAUGGGUAGCAAAUAGAAACAGUCGUCUCAAAGACUCUUCUGGGAUUCUCAACAUAUCAGAUGAUGGCAACCUUGUUGUUUCCAAUGGAAAAGCUGAGGUUCUAUGGUCAUCACAUGUUACCAAUACAGCUCCUAAUGCAACAACUGCCCAGAUUUUAGACUCUGGAAACCUUGUCCUUAGUAAUGGUGAGGAUGGAGCAAGCAGCUUAUGGGAGAAUUUUGAAGAUCCUUCUAAUGCCUUCAAACUAUGAAGAUCAGCACUAAUGUUGAAAAGGGUCGAAAAGUGGAGAUCAAAUCAUGGAAAAGCCCUGAUGAUCCAUCUGAUGGUAACUUUUCUCUUGGUAUUGAACCUUUCAAUAUCCUAGAGGUCGUCAUUUGGAACAAUAACGAGCUCUAUUUUCGGAGUGAACCAUGGAAUGGGAAUAUGUUUCUUGGCUUAAUGCUUCCGACCACCGUUGAUAUUGAUGGGUUUUCUGUUGUUGCAGAUAAUCAACAACAAACGUUUUACAUGGCUUAUGAAUUUUCUAGUGACUCUAUGUUGAUAUACUUUAAAUUAGAUUCUCAAGGAAAAUUCAUUGAAUGGAGAUGGGAUGCGGGGAAAGGGAACUGGACAAACAAGUACUCUAUUUAUCUUACAGAUUGUGAUGUUUAUGGGAAGUGUGGGGCAUUUGGGAUAUUCGAUUCAACGAAACGACCCAUUUGCAGUUGCUUAGAAGGGUUUAAGGCUAGGAAUAUAGAGGAAUGGAGUAGAGGUAAUUGGAGUGGUGGGUGUUUUAGGACUACCCCUUUGCAGUGCCAAAGGGAUAACAACAAUGGGAGUGGAGCAGGCCAAGAUGAUGAUGGGUUUUUGGAGAUGAAGAUGAUGAAAGUACCAGCAUUUCCGGACCGGUCAUCAAUAAUUAACAGGGACUGCAAAGAUCAAUGCAUGGAUUUCGUGGGCUAGAUUAAGUUUUUGCUAAUUCAAUAGAGCUUUUUGGGCCUUUGACGAGAGUUAGAGAUGACGGACCUAAAGGGACCCUUCGUGGGCAGAUCCAAGAAAUAAGAGCCGAACGUGUGAAGCCCAAGUUGAAAAUGAAAUACCACAUUCAAGCUUCAUUUUUUUACUAAAUGCGCUCAUUAAUGUUUUCUAUGUCGUAAAUUAAAAAAAAAAUAAACUACUUAGUUGAUGAUUCAACUUUUAAGGGUACUUUCAAUGAAAUCUUUAUAAUUUAUUUAUUCAAUUUUUAGGACGCUUUCAUUUUAGUCAUCCAAUCGUUAAAUCUUUAACGGCUGUUAAUUAUACACGUCAUAUCAUGUUCGCACUUUUAUUUUGGUCAUCUAACUUCUAGGUCGUUUUCAUUUGGAUUAACUCAAAAAAUACUUUUUUAAAGUAUUGAUUGUAGUAAAAAAAAUUAAGAAUUAAAGUGAAAAAGUAGUAUAAACUAAAAUAAUGCAUUAAAAAGUGUCAAAUUGUACUUGUUUAUCACAUUGCCAAAAUUUCUAAAAGAAAUUCAAUAUUAAAAUUUUAAAUUUCAAAACAUAAAAAUUAGUUAAAUAACUUAUUGAAAUUAGUUGUAAGGUUUUAGCUUAUUAUGAAAGACUCAGUAUCAUAUAAUUAAAAGAAAUUUGAAUUUCAUGUAUAAUUAUUAAAUAUGAUUUAUUUGAGUUGAUUUUAAUUUGGAAAUAUAAAAUAAAAUAUUAAAAUUUAAAAGGAGAUUAAAUUAAUUAAAUUAAUUAAUUUCAAUAUUAUAAUAAUAAAUGAGUUUUUAUUAGUAAUUUUUCAGUACUGGAUAAUUAUAUUGAACCUCAAUUAAGUUUAGGGCAAAAUUAAGUUGAACUCUAAAAGAGAGGCAAAGUUCUUUAAGAACUAGUAGAUCUUGAAUAUAAUUUUUAAAAAAGGUUAGGCAAAGAAAAGCACUAACUUAUGCCAUAUAGUAUACUGUAAUUGGUAAGAGACCUUUUUUUUCCUUAACAAGACUCGGUCAUUGCUAAAAUAAUUUUGAAAAAAAGGAAUGUGCUUCAUUAGUCAAAGUUAUUCAAUGGAAGAGUCUAAAUUCAUCGGUUUGACAAAAGCUACCUAUAUUAGUCAAAGUUAUUUAAAUGUCGUCUUGGUCUGUAACUUCUGGAAGUUCUAACCUCAAUAAAUUUUAUCAAUAGUUUUUAAUUACUAAAUUAAUUACGAAAGAUUAUCUAGUCAUUUUUAUUUUGCUCGAAAUUUUUAUAAUUUCAUUAUUUAAUUUUUAGGAUGAUUUAUCUUAGUUACUAAAUCAUUAAAUUUUUAAUGGUGGUUAGCUGUACAUACCACAUCAUGUUCACAUUUCAUUUUGGUCCCUUAAAUUCUAAAUCGCUUUCAAUUUAAUCAUUCAAAAAACAUAUUUUCCAAGUAUUAAUCGAGGUAAAAAUUGCUAAAGAGUAAAGUGAAAAAGUAGUAGAAAUUAAAAUAAUGCUUUAAAAAAUUUAAAUAACUUAUUUAAUUAAUUUUGAUGUUUUGAAAUACAACUUACACUAACAGAUAAAUAAAUACAAUUUGAUAAUUUUUAAAGUAUUACUUUCCACUUUAAUCUUUAAUUGUUUUUAAAAUUGCUGCAAUGAAAAGUAAGAAGAAAACAUAAAGAGGUGCUUAGUGCUCCAAGAAAUUUCAAACCUUGAUGUAAUCAUUUGAAGAAAAUUGAGUUGAGUUCAUCUAGUGUAAAUCCUUCAAGAUUCCAAAUAUCAUUCAUAAAUCAUAGCGUCACUUCCAAGUUCUGGGUAGAGAUUAUGGGAAAAACUAUUAGCUGCUCUGUUUUACUAUCUUUAACACCUUGCUUUUACUUGCUAUUUGCCACUGCUUUAGACACCAUAACACCAUCAAAAUCCAUCAAAGACCCUGAAUUUAUAAUCUCCCAGAAUGGUAUUUUCCGAUUGGGAUUCUUCAGCUUGGCUAACUCCAGCAAUCGUUAUGUAGGGAUAUUGUACCAUCAAAUCCCCGUACAAACUGUUGUAUGGGUGGCAAAUAGAAACAGGCCUCUCAAAGACUCUUCUGGGAUUCUCAACAUAUCAGAUGAUGGCAACCUUAUUGUUUUGAAUGGCAAAACUGAGAUUCUCUGGUCAUCAAAUGUCACCAAUACAGCUCCUAAUGCAACAACUGCCCAGCUUUCAAACUUAGGAAACCUCGUUCUCAGUAAUGGUGACGAUGCAGGAAGCAGCUUAUGGGAGAGUUUUCAACACCCUUGUAAUGUCUUCCUUCAAACUAUGAAGAUCGGCGUUGAUAUAAAAACGGGUCGUAAAGUGGAGCUGAAAUCAUGGAAAAGCAUGGAUGAUCCAUCUGAUGGUAACUUUUCUCUUGGUUUUGAGCCUUUCAACAUCCCAGAGCUUGUCAUUCGGAAGUAUAACCAGCUCUAUUUUCGGACCGGUCCGUGGAAUGGGAAUAUCUUUAUUGGCAUAAUAUAUAUGUACACCGUCAAUUUUGAUGGGUUUGAUGUUGUUGCAGAUAAUCCACAACAACCGUACUAUAUCACUUAUGAAUAUUCUAAUGACUUUAGGUUGCUAUACUAUGAAUUAGAUACUCAGGGAAAAUUCAUUGAACGGAGAUGGGAUGCGGAGAAAGGGAACUGGAUAAACAGGUACCCUAGUCAUGAAACAGAUUGUGAUGUUUACGGAAUCUGUGGGGCAUUUGGAAUAUGUGAUUCAUCGAAACGACCCAUUUGCAGUUGCUUAAAGGGGUUUAAGCCUAGGAAUGCAGAGGAAUGGAGUAGAGGUAAUUGGAGUAAUGGGUGUUUUAGGAAUACCCCUUUGCAGUGCCAAAGAGAUAUCAACAAUGGCAGUGGAGCAGGCCAAGGUGACGAUGAGUUUUUGGAGAUGCAGAUGAUGAAAGUGCCGACAUUUCCGUACCGGUCAUCAAUAGUUAACGGUGACUGCAAAAAUGAAUGCAUGAAGAAUUGUUCGUGCGUGGCUUAUGCGUAUGAUGAUGGCAUUGGUUGCAUGUUGUGGAGUGGAGAUUUGAUUGAUGUCAAGAAACUCUCCAGUCUCGGAGUCGAUCUUUACAUUCGUCUGUCUUCUUCGGAACUGGGUAAAAUUUCUGAGUGUCGACAAUGUGUUUGAUAAAUUGCGUCAAUAUCUGCCUUUUUGGUGUUGAAGUUAUUAACCAAGUUUCUCUAUUUGCAGAUAAAGGGAAAAGUAGAAAGGUCAUUGUUAUUACAACAGUAAUUGCGGGCAUAAUAGUUAUUACAAUUUCUGCAGUACUCUUCUUAUGGUGUAGGAUGGCUAAACAUAAAGGUAAUAUAUAUGAAAAAUAUUUAAAUGUAUUUAUAAUUUAUUAAGAAAUUAAAAUUUAGGCUAUGAAUAUAUACACGGAUAUUAAGAUAAAAGGGCCGGGUACAUUCACCAAUAUGGUACUAACUACAUUGAUCUUAUCUCAGGCAGGAAUAAAAAACAAAAACAGGUCAAACACCAAAUUUGUAGGGAAAAUAUAGGAGAAAAUUCAAUUGGAGUUAAACUCCAGCAGCUGCCCAUAUUCAAUUUUGAAGAACUUGCCACCGCGACAAACAACUUCAAUCACGCAGAAAAGCUAGGGCAGGGUGGUUUCGGUCAAGUUUAUAGGGUAAUAAAUAAUGGCGAUUUGCAAAUCCAGUGUCAAUGAAAUGACAUUUUCUUUUUUUCUAUCAAGUCUUCUGAGUUGAACUUUGUGUGCAGGGAAUAUUAGAUGGUGGGAAGGAAAUAGCAGUAAAAAGAUUGUCGAAAUCUUCGGUGCAAGGAUUGGAAGAAUUUAUGAAUGAAAUGGUGGUGAUCUCUAAGCUUCAACAUCGAAAUCUGGUAAGAUUGCUUGGCUGUUGUGUUGAAGGAGAAGAGAAGAUGAUCGCCUACGAAUAUAUGCCCAACAAAAGUUUGGACGCUUUUCUCUUUGGUUAGUAACUUAUUCCAAUCCUUUUUUACCUUUUUUUUUGUGAUUUUUCGCUAUUUUGGACCCUAAACAAGGGACAAAGCUUUCCUAGAAUUAUUUUCUUCAUCCAUAAGACUUGAUCUUAUAUUGUUGCUUAAGGGGAAUUGAAUUCCUUAUCACUCGAUCUAAUAAGCAUUAAUAUUGUUUUCCUUCUCAUUACAACUUAAACUUGGCCUUGACUACCACAUUUACCUAAUCCGAUGAAUCCUACUCAUUUGAUUUGGUAGGUACAAUCCAUAUAGGUUAGAUCUUGGAUAUAAUUUUCUUGAAAAGUUUCAAAAAAUGAAGAAACAUAAUUUCCCAUUGAAAAACCAUUAUGUAAGGAAAAUCUUAUGUAUUUUUAUCGAAAAAUAAACUUCUAAUUUUUUUAAUUUUUUAAAGUUUUUUAACUUUUAAGAAUUAAGACUAAAUUAACAAAAUGUGUAAAGUUAAGGGUUAAAUGUGUUCAAUUUUUUAAAUUUAGGACUAAAUUGAUAGAUUCUAUAAAUAUUGAAGGAUUAAAAUUGUUAUUAUGCCAAAAGGAAAAAGUCACUAUUAGUGAUUUAACACAAGAGUGACCAAAAUAUUAAAUUUCGAUAACAUUAAACAGAAACACACUAAUAGUUGAAUGACUGUCUUUAUAGCUUACCUUUAAAAUUUUAAUAUUUAAAAAUUAAUUAAAUAUUAAAAUCACACAUAUGUCACACUAGAAGUUAGUAAUUAUAAAAUAUAGAAGUAUGAUUCUAAGUUUUUUUUUAAGCAAUAAAAUUGGUCGGCUAGUUGAUUUUGUGCAAACUUGUGUAAGAGGAUAUGAAAAAUAGUUAUGGCUUGGUCCAUGGACAUGUCUGAUGUAAUUAUAUUCUGAGAUUUGAAUGGCAGCAACGUAAUAUUUUGACUCUCUCCAUUGUUCAAUAUUUAUUUCAAUUGAUUGGCAUAACAUCAAUUCUGUCUACAAUCACAAUUAAUACGAUAUGGUAGACAAUACAACAAUGAUUGUAGUUUAGAUCCACUAUUAUAGAAAUUAACUAUAAAUCUUGAGGUCUUAUUGUUUAAGUUUUGUCAUAGAUCCAGCUAAACAAGAUGUUUUGGAUUGGAGAAAACGAUUCAACAUCAUUGAAGGGAUUAGUCGAGGAUUGCUUUAUCUACAUAGAGAUUCAAGACUAAAGAUUAUACAUAGAGAUCUGAAAGCAAGUAAUAUUUUACUCGAUGAAGAAUUAAACCCAAAAAUUUCAGAUUUUGGGAUGGCUAGGAUUUUCGGAGGCAAUCAAAAUCAAGCUAAAACUAAAAGGGUUGUUGGAACUUAGUAAGUUGGAACUUUCUCCUUAUCAUUUAAGUUUAUUCUCUCUCUCUCUCUCUCUCUUUUUUUUUUGGAUAAAAUAUGGUAUAGAUAUAUCUAUUGAUGGAUCAGGUCCGAUGCUUAAAAAGAUUACAUGCCUAGACCUAAACUUAGUUUGGCUUAGUUUGAUCUAUAGACUCAUUUUACCAUUUUUAAAAAUUAAAAUAAUAAAGAAUAUAUUAUUUUAUACUUUUAUUAUUUAAUUUUAAUUUAGACCGACUUAUGAAUAAGUUUAGGCCAGGGUUGUAAUUAAUGUUUUUUAAUGUUAAAAUACAGUGGUUAUAUGUCUCCUGAGUAUGUAAUGCGAGGGCAAUUUUCAGAGAAAUCAGAUGUAUUCAGUUUUGGAGUUCUAUUGCUAGAGAUUGUUAGCGGAAGAAGAAACACAAGCUUUUGCAACGAUCAGUAUGCACUUAGCCUCUUGGGAUAUGUAAGUUUAUAAGAUAAUUAGACAUGUUGGUGGGUUGAAUUAGGGUGUAAAAUACCGUUUUUGCAAGCUAUUCAGGUUCAAAUCAAGAAAACUUGAAUUCUACUAAGUAACUAUUGAGUUGAGCGAUCAUGAGCUGAACUUGAGAAUCUUAAUGCUUGAAUUGGGUAGCUUGCAAGGUGACAUGGAAAGUCCUAAUACUUGAAUUGACUAUAAGCUCUCUUUUUUGCUUUAAAUAUAUAUUCAACAUUUUCAAUUGAAAUUCGAGUUUGACUACAAUAUCGAGUUUAAGUUGAACCUAAGAAUGAAGCUCAAUUUAGACAUAGGUGAACAAGCUUAAGCAAGAAAUUUUGAGCAGUUGGAUCUUUUCAUAUGUUGAAUUGAGCUAAUCAAAAUCUAUUUAGACUUUGUGUUUAUAAUUUUGAGUUGAUUUAGGCUGAAAAGUUUAGGUAUUAAUUUAGACGAAUUUUCUUUUCUAUUCUCAGGCAUGGAAAUUGUGGAGGGAAGGCGAUAUUCGUGGCAUAGUAGACAAAGUGAUUUUAGAGUCAGAAACAUAUUCAAAGAAUGAAAAUGAAAAAGAAAUAUGGAGAUGCAUACAUGUUGGUUUGCUAUGUGUUCAAGAAUUUGCUAAAGAUAGGCCCACUAUGCCUACAGUUGUUUCAAUGCUUAAUAGUGAGAUUUCAGUUCUUAACACUCCAAAACAACCCGCUUUCACUGAAGCACCACUAAUGAGUCAUGAUGUUGAAGAUAGGGUUUCACUUAAUGAUGUAACUCUUACAAACCUUGAUGGCCGAUAAAGAUACAGUUUUAAGUAUUGGAAUUUAUCUUUUAUAUUCAACCUAUUUUUAUCAUUUUAUUUCUAUGAUAAUUGUAAUUUUAUUUGUUCCAUUCUAGUGAAUUUACCAUUAUAUUUGAACAUAGCAGUUUAAUGCCAAAACCGAAAAUUUUUGAUGAAAUUCAAAUUCAAAUUCAAACUCAAUCCAAUUUAAUUUGAACAUAAAAAAAAUUAACAAUUUAAACUUGUUAAAUCCAAACUUAAAAAUAAUUUAAAACUCAAAAUAAUUUAAAAUUAAAAUGAUUCAAACCCAAAUUUGCCUAACCCAAAAAUCUUCCAUUUUUUUUGGUGGAUUCGUUGUUUUGGGUCAAAGCAUCGUUCCAAUAUUGCGGCCAUAAUCUUCCAUGAUAUAGUUAGUGUUAUAAGUCUUCCACUAACUAGUACAGUUCCUCUUAAGUUGGGGAUGAUCUUUCACAGAUCUUUCCCGGCAACUCCCCCGUAUGUCCUCGCGUUUCCGUAAAGAGAUUUUUUUUGAUGUCUUAAAUCAACAAUGUAAUUUUUAAGAAGAAAACAGUGGAAAGCAAAUUAAACUUGCAUUUUGGGUGGAAGAUAAAUGAGUCUUCAAGUCAACCAAAUUAAACGUGCAUGACAAGCUAGAAGUAUUGAUUUCCAUGAUCAAGGUGACAUGCUAGUUGAAUACAAUAUAGGUAGUGAUUAGUGCUUGAAGAAAAUUCAAAUCUUGAUGUAAACAUUUGCAGCUGCCUUGAAAUAUCAUUACAUCAUAUAAAAAAUAUAAGUUAAAAUUAUAAAGAUAUAAAUUAUUAAAAUGGUGAAAUUGCAUUUUAUCUCUCACAAAAAUAUAUAACUUAAUUCUAACGCCUAGAAAAAUUUUCUGAUUUCCCCCAUGAUUAAACUUCUUAUCACUCAGUCCAGCAUGUGUAGCUAAACAAAUAUUCUUAUUUGUAAGAUUCGUAUAAGGAAUAAAUAUCAAAAUUAUGCAUAAAAUUUGAUCUAAUAUGUAAUUUAAUACAUGAACUUUGAUUUGAUGCAAUUAAACACAUCAAAAUUUAGAUAAAUUAAGUUAUUUAUGUAUGUAAUAUAAAAUAAAAAAUUGUGUUAUAUCGAUAAUUAUAUUAAUAACUUAUAAAAUUUAAAUAAAAAAAGUUUUCAUAUAUGAAAUCAUAAAUUUUUAGAUUUAUCCCUAUAGCAAACAACUCCAAGGUGUGGGACAUAUAAGCCAUGCAUGCGUCAUAUCAAACGUACAAAAAAACUUCUACUAAAGAUUGGCAAAUACUAAGGGUGAGUUUAGAUGGGCGGUGCGUUUACCUGCGGCUAGUGUAAAAACAGCGGUGGCGGUGAGAUUAGACACUAUAGCGAUACUGUAGCGUGAGAUAAAAAGUAAACUAAACGCACCGCACCGCACCUAAUUGCCCAUCCAAACCCACCCUAAGUCAAUGUGUCCGUGUGCUGAAAGAAUGUUGAAUUCAAUUAUAAUUCUACAAAUAAUGUACUUGUACGUCCAUAAUAUAAAUAAAUGAACAUGAAAUUACUUUAUCAUGUCAUAUUCCAUGAUUUGCUGACAGGAUCUGUAUCUUCCACCUUCUUUGCUUGGCAAAUUAAGAAAGACCAACUUAAGCUCCAAGCAAGUCUAGUGGGUUCUGUAUAGUAUUCUAAUACUUUAAAUUAUACAUUUAAUUGAUUUUAGUAGUUAAAUUUUAUUAUUAGACUGAUUUUAUGUGUAAGUUGUAACUCUAUUCUUUAGGUUAAUUUCUUUUUAAUCUUUAAAAUUUUUGAAUUUUAAAAUUCAAUCCUAACUCAAACGAUAAUAAUUAAAUUCAUUAAGUAAUAUAAUAUCGUUUUUAUGAGUAUUAUUUGUAAAUAAAAAGUUAAUAUAAUAUCACACAUGAUAAUAUAUUUGUUAUAUAAUAUUUUAAAAAUAAUUAAUCUAACUGCUAUUGUUUGAGUUAUACAUAUAUAAUUUAAAGAAUUUAAUUAUUUUAUAAAUCAAAAUAUAGUCUUAGGUCCAGAAUUCGAGUUUUUGGAUAUCCUAUACCCUGAUUGUAUUUGUGUGAACAUGGUGGCACAUGAGUUGAUUUUUUGGUACUCCAAUGGAAGAAAAAGCCAACAAAAAUAUAGAAAAUUACGAGUAAUUGACACUUCCAGAAAAUUUCCGUAAGUCAAAAUGAGAUUACCUAUAUACGAAGAAAAUUGAGAUGUAGAUCACUAGAUGUAAACAUUUGAGGCUGCCAUGAAACAUCAUUCCACCAUAUCAAAAUCAGACCCUAAAAAAGAGUCAAUUUCUGUAGAAGGUCCCUACCCAAUUUAUAUUUUUUGAAUUUAGUCCUUUCAUAUAAUUAGGUAUUUUUAAUCUCUCGCUUUUUAGAAAUUACAAAUUCAAUUGAAAGAGAUGGACACAAAAAUUGGUUAUACAAAUUAAAAAACUUUUUUACGUCUAUGAGACUUUAUCCAAAAUUUAAUUUAUUAUCAAUAUGCAGUGUAAGAUGUGAUUUAAGUUCAACUUUCUCACCAAAUUGUAACAUCGCUCCUAUAUAUCAAUAUAAGAUCAUUUUCUCCCACUAAGACUUUCCCUUGAAAUCUUAGCAACAAAUGGUUUACAAUAAAUUUACAUUAAGAAUUUCCUAACAAUCAAUAGACAAGUGCUCUCUCAUAAUCUUCUAUAAUGAGACAAACAAGUCUUCUUUAGAUAAGCAUUAAUGCCUAGUAAUUCUUCAAUUGGUGUGAACAUAUAUAUUCCCUUGAAUUGUUCUCGAAUAAAUUUUCAAUAAGGAAUCAAAAUAUGUAAAGAUUUUCGAGGAAUAAACUUCUGUUUCUAUAAAAACUCUCUCUAGCACAAAUAACAUAAAGUCUUUAAAUAGAGCAAUUGCUUGACUGAAUUUCGUCAUGAUCCAUUCCAUUAAAUUGUCGCUUAAAGUCUUCAAUAUGAUGUAAGAAUUAAAUAAAGAUUUUUCAAUAAAAAAUAUGCCAACAUAUUUAUGGUAGGUUGUACAACUUUCCAAUUGCACCUUAUUUUCAAUAUUGACAAUCAACUUUUUUCAUUAAUUCUGUCAAAAUAAUUUAGUAUGAUUAAAUACAUAUUUUGAAAACCAAAGAAAUUGAAAAAAAAAUUGUUGUAGGGACUAAAUCUUCCAAAAAUGUAAAAAUACAGGGACCUUAUAUACUAUUUGACCUUUAUUAAUAUCAUUCAUAAAUCAUAGAAUCACUUCCAAGUCCUGCACAAGUUACACGGUCAUGGGGAAAACUAUUAGCUGCUCUGUUUUAGUAGCUUUAAUAUCUUGAUUUUACUUACAGCUGCAGUUUGGCACUGCUUCACACACUAUAACAGCAUCAAAAUCCAUCAAAGACCCUGAUGUUAUAAUCUCCCAGAAUGGUGUUUUCCGAUUGGGAUUCUUCAGCUUGGCUAACUCCAGCAAUCGUUAUGUAGGGAUAUUGUACCAUCAAAUCCCCCUACAAACUGUUGUAUGGGUGGCAAAUAGAAACAGGCCUCUCAAAGACUUUUCUGGGAUUCUCACCAUAUCAGGUGAUGGCAACCUUGUUGUUUCCAAUGGAAAAGCUGAGAUUCUUUGGUCAACAAAUGUUACGAAUUUGGUUCCUAAUGCAACAACUGCACAGCUUGUAGACUCUGGAAACCUUGUCCUCAAUAACGGUGAGAAUGGAGGAAGCAGCAUCUUAUGGGAGAGUUUUCAACACCCUUCUAAUGUAUUCCUUCAAACUAUGAAGAUCAGCACUGAUGUAAAAACGGGUCGUAAGGUGCAGACGAGAUCAUGGAAAAGCCCUGAUGAUCCAUCUGACGGCAACUUUUUUCAAGGCAUUGAAC